Molecule: ribosomal RNA, 23 nt
Filed under: Acacia glaucocarpa
Lineage: Eukaryota; Viridiplantae; Streptophyta; Magnoliopsida; Fabales; Fabaceae
Description: partial 18S ribosomal RNA
Source: RNAcentral
GGUUGAUCCUGCGCAGUAGUCAU